CGGAACAGGUUUUGCACUCAAGAAAUCUCUGCUGAACUCAGUCUUAAGGUUUCAAAUCAGACACAUGGGGGCCUCACUCAAAUAGUCAAGGUCAAACCAAGAUUUUGAUUGUCGUCAGCGCCACCUAUCCGCUGCUUACAAGGCAACUUACUCAUAAAUGGCUGCUGAUUUCAAAAAUGCUGAUUUGCAUUUUUUGCGAGGCGUCGGUAUCAGGAAAAGGCUUUGUUUCUUGCACAAGUUGUUUGCUUUCUGCGACCAAUAAUUUAUUAAAACAUGAGUUUUAGACCUUGGUGUGUGCCUAUCAGUGCGUUGAUAUUUGUUCUAAUCGAAUUAUUUACAUUUUGAUUGCUACAAAUUCAGUACAAAUUCUGCAAGGGCCACACAGUUUCGAGGGUAAGGAGACUUAAUUUGGAAGCAGUAGAAGUUACACAGCAGAAGCAGUUGUCGGCUCGCAACAAAAUUUUGUAUUAGGGCGUAAAGAAUUUGGUACAUCGCCAACAGCUAAGAAACCUAUAUAUAAUUAUGUUAUCCAUACACAUACCUAAAUAUGUAUCUGCAUUAGUAAUUGUACUAAAUUAAUGAAUUUGUUUUGUUACUUUGAAUUAGGUAUUAGUUUAAUUUCUGAAUUUUUGAUUCAUAACAUGAUUUUGCUUCUUGAACAAAUGUUGCUGGUUUCUAUAGCAAACACUUUUCACAAUAUAAUAGUAAUUGGCGUUUCGCCUAUUGAUUUACUCCAAUAAAAAUGUGUAAAUGUU
Molecule: long non-coding RNA, 755 nt
Organism: Dendroctonus ponderosae (mountain pine beetle)
Lineage: Eukaryota; Metazoa; Arthropoda; Insecta; Coleoptera; Curculionidae
Exons: 3
Source: RefSeq, a predicted model, not a curated record